Homo sapiens (human) is the source of this 318-nucleotide long non-coding RNA. The record is from Ensembl. Lineage: Eukaryota; Metazoa; Chordata; Mammalia; Primates; Hominidae.
CUGCUAGCACGUUUUCACCUCUCAAUACAAGAAGCUACUUCAUAGAAGAAGCAAACUUAGAAUACAUUUAAGUUUGCGUUCAAACUCUUCACUUCCCAAUACCAGUGGGAAAAUGACCACAAAAACACCUUUGAAGACUAUAUUUAUUAUUGGUGAAGAUUGGAGGAAAUAAACUUUUCAUAUAUCGACUACUGUAGGAAGGCCUGAGACAAAACAAUGUUGAAAUUAGGCCAACUGAGAGCCCUAUAAUGGCAUCUAAGUGUUUCAGUGAAAGGAAGAAUCACAUCUCUCACUUUAAAUCAAAAGCUAGGAAUCAUU